CCUGCUCAAUGUAAACUAAAUAGCCGCUCUAAGUGCUAAGGUAGCAUAAUAAAUUGCUCUAUAAUUAAGAGAUAGAAUGAAAGGUAAAACGAUUUAUUAAUUGUAUCAAGAUAUAACUUGAAACUAGCACUUCUGUUAUAACCCAAUUAUAAAAUAGAAGGACGACAAGACCCUACUGAACUUUACUUCUAGUUACACUGGGAAGGUUUAAAACCACAUCUUUUUAAUCCCCCAAAUCUACGCCCCCAUAGAAUAAAAACAAGUUACCAUAGGGAUAACAGCAUAAUAAUUUCCCAAAGCCCAUAUUAUAUAAAUUGAUUAUGACCUCGAUGUUGAAUUAACAUUACUAUUUAUAGAAACCUAUAAAAAAGAAAGUCUGUUCGACUUUUAAUUUGUUACAU
This 401-nucleotide ribosomal RNA is filed under the name Speocera sp. 273 FL-2019. RNAcentral describes it as "partial large subunit ribosomal RNA". It matches the Rfam family "Archaeal large subunit ribosomal RNA", at positions 1953 to 2672 of the family's 2987-position model. Lineage: Eukaryota; Metazoa; Arthropoda; Arachnida; Araneae; Ochyroceratidae. The record is from RNAcentral.